This 402-nucleotide ribosomal RNA is filed under the name Verrucomicrobiota bacterium. RNAcentral describes it as "Verrucomicrobia bacterium partial 16S ribosomal RNA". It matches the Rfam family "Bacterial small subunit ribosomal RNA", at positions 355 to 776 of the family's 1533-position model. The record is from RNAcentral. Lineage: Bacteria; Pseudomonadati; Verrucomicrobiota.
UGGGGAAUUUUGCACAAUGGGGGAAACCCUGAUGCAGCGACGCCGCGUGAUUUAGAAGGCCUUCGGGUUGUAAAAAUCUUUUCUAUGGGAAGAAAAUGACAGUACCAUAGGAAUAAGGACCGGCUAAUUACGUGCCAGCAGCCGCGGUAAUACGUAAGGUCCGAGCGUUGUCCGGAAUCAUUGGGCGUAAAGGGUACGUAGGCGGGUAAGCAAGUUAGAAGUGAAAUCCUGUAGCUCAACUACAGUAAGCUUUUAAAACUGCUCAUCUUGAGAUAUGGGAGGGAAAGUGGAAUUCCUAGUGUAGCGGUGAAAUGCGCAGAUAUUAGGAGGAGUACCGGUGGCGAAGGCGACUUUCUGGCCAUAAUAUGACGCUGAGGUACGAAAGCGUGGGUAGCAAACAGG